RNAcentral lists this ribosomal RNA (1239 nucleotides) under Triticum aestivum (bread wheat). Its description in RNAcentral is "partial small subunit ribosomal RNA". The record is from RNAcentral. Lineage: Eukaryota; Viridiplantae; Streptophyta; Magnoliopsida; Poales; Poaceae.
AUGCCGGAGCUGCCGGAGGUGGAGGCGGCGCGGCUGGCGCUGGAGGAGCACUGCGUCGGGAAGCGGAUCGUGCGCUGCUCCGCCGCGGAGGACACCAAGGUCAUCGACGGCGUCGCCCCGUCGCGGCUGGAGGCGGCGCUGGUCGGGAGGACCAUCGCCGCCGCGCGCCGCAAGGGCAAGAACCUAUGGCUCGUGCUGGAUUCGCCGCCGUCGCCCUCCUUCCAGUUCGGAAUGGCUGGAGCUAUUUACAUCAAGGGUGUGGAGCUGAGCAAAUAUAAAAGGUCUGCAGUGAGCCCAACUGAGGAAUGGCCUUCAAAGUACUCCAAACUAUUUGUUGAAUUGGAUGAUGGCUUGGAGUUCUCCUUCACUGAUAAGAGGCGUUUUGCAAAAAUACGGUUGUUUGACAACCCAGAAGCUGUCCCUCCAAUUUCUGAACUUGGACCAGAUGCCCUAUGCGAACCAAUGCAGCUUGAUGAUUUUGUACAAUCUUUUGGUAGAAAGAAUGCGCCAAUAAAAUCCCUUUUGCUUGAUCAGAGCUUUAUGUCAGGAAUCGGCAACUGGAUGGCAGAUGAGGUGCUUUAUCAGGCAAGGAUCCAUCCUAUGCAAACUUCAUCGAAGAUAUCCAAGGAGAAGUGCAAGGCACUCCAUCGGUGCAUCAAAGAGGUGAUUGAAAAAUCCGUUGAAGUUGGUGCUGACAGCAACGAAUUUCCAGAGAACUGGAUAUUUCAUUCUAGGGAGAAGAAACCCGGCAAGGCCUUUGUAGAUGGGAAGAAAAUCGACUUUGUUACAGUAGGCGGCAGGACAUCGGCGUACGUUCCAGAGCUGCAGAUUCUGGAUGGGGCUGAUGCUGCAGCAGCAAACAGGUCAAAGAAAGGCAGAGACAAGGCAGAGGAAAAUGUGGGCAAAACGUCCAAGAAAGGCCAGAAGGCUGCUCCGAAGGAAGGGGGGAAGACGGCACAGAAGACAUCUGUUGAUGAAGAGGAAGAGGAGGACGAUAAACCAGCAAAGCAAAGAGCCAAGGGGGCAAAGGCCCCACCGAAGAAAGCGGGUAAUACUCGUGCUGAUGAUCACAAGGAGGGCGGAGACGAAGAUGAAGGGGCGAAGCCCGCCAAGAGGGGGAGGAAGCGACCAGCAAAGGGCCCAUCGAAGAAAGAAGGUUGUUCUUCAGACGAUGAAGACUCGCUUGGCAAGGAAGAGACUGUGGUCGCGGCAAAGAGGCCGCAGAGAAAGAAGCGGUGA